CAGCAGCCGCGGGAAUACGGAGGGUGCAAGCGUUAAUCGGAAUUACUGGGCGUAAAGCGCACGCAGGCGGUUUGUUAAGUCAGAUGUGAAAUCCCCGAGCUUAACUUGGGAACUGCAUUUGAAACUGGCAAGCUAGAGUCUUGUAGAGGGGGGUAGAAUUCCAGGUGUAGCGGUGAAAUGCGUAGAGAUCUGGAGGAAUACCGGUGGCGAAGGCGGCCCCCUGGACAAAGACUGACGCUCAGGUGCGAAAGCGUGGGGAGCAAACAGGAUUAGAUACCCCUGUAGUCCCUGUCUCUUAUAA
This 301-nucleotide ribosomal RNA is filed under the name uncultured bacterium. RNAcentral describes it as "partial 16S ribosomal RNA". It matches the Rfam family "Bacterial small subunit ribosomal RNA", at positions 509 to 809 of the family's 1533-position model. The record is from RNAcentral.